Molecule: long non-coding RNA, 408 nt
Filed under: Astyanax mexicanus (Mexican tetra)
Lineage: Eukaryota; Metazoa; Chordata; Actinopteri; Characiformes; Acestrorhamphidae
Description: lncRNA (ENSAMXG00005001124.1)
Source: RNAcentral
AAAAAUCAAGGGGCAUAAUGGAGCGGCGGAGCGAGGGCGGGGUGCCGAAAGCCUUUCCGGGAGGAAAUGGGCAGAAAGAAAGACGGAGGGAGCCGGACGGGCUGUCGCGUUUUAGGUUUUUUUAACGUGAGCUUUUUCCUGUUUCAGAGCGGCCGAGGAGGACCAGCAGGCCCAGUCCAAGAAAGCGCUGAAGAAACAGCAGAAGGAAGCAGAGAAAGCGGCGAAGAAGGCCGAGAAACAGGCCAAGCUGGCGGCUGAGCAGCAGACAUCUGAUGAGGAUGACUUUGCGAAGGACCGGUACGGAGUGUCUGCGAUGGUGCAGUCUCAGGAGAAACUGGGUGAGUAUCUUCACCUUGCUGUCAGUUUACCACACACUUACCUCACCUCUUCAGCAGCUCAGUGUGUGAA